This 492-nucleotide ribosomal RNA is filed under the name uncultured bacterium. RNAcentral's name for it is "partial 16S ribosomal RNA". It matches the Rfam family "Bacterial small subunit ribosomal RNA", at positions 29 to 507 of the family's 1533-position model. The record is from RNAcentral.
AGUGAACGCUGGCGGUAGGCCUAACACAUGCAAGUCGAACGGCAGCACAGUAAGAGCUUGCUCUUACGGGUGGCGAGUGGCGGACGGGUGAGGAAUACAUCGGAAUCUACUUUUUCGUGGGGGAUAACGUAGGGAAACUUACGCUAAUACCGCAUACGACCUACGGGUGAAAGCAGGGGAUCUUCGGACCUUGCGCGAUUGAAUGAGCCGAUGUCGGAUUAGCUAGUUGGCGGGGUAAAGGCCCACCAAGGCGACGAUCCGUAGCUGGUCUGAGAGGAUGAUCAGCCACACUGGAACUGAGACACGGUCCAGACUCCUACGGGAGGCAGCAGUGGGGAAUAUUGGACAAUGGGCGCAAGCCUGAUCCAGCAAUACCGCGUGGGUGAAGAAGGCCUUCGGGUUGUAAAGCCCUUUUGUUGGGAAAGAAAAGCAGCAGGCUAAUACCCCGCUGUUCUGACGGUACCCAAAGAAUAAGCACCGGCUAACUUCGUG